RNAcentral lists this non-coding RNA (24 nucleotides) under Arabidopsis thaliana (thale cress). The record is from RNAcentral. Lineage: Eukaryota; Viridiplantae; Streptophyta; Magnoliopsida; Brassicales; Brassicaceae.
UGAUACAUAGCACCGAUGCUCUCC